GUCUACUUGGUGGCCAGCAGUUGCUGUUUCUUCUAGAUCAUCAGGAGCAGUUUCCAAGGAGACUACCUCCUUGUGGGUUGAAUCUUCAGCAGGUGCAUAUUAGCUCAUUUCCAGCGAAGUCUGCAGGCAGAAAAUCAACUCUGCUCUUGCCUGACCUUCUCACCUGCUUCCCGUUUUAUCCUCUCAUGGAUGCAACUUUCCCUGUAGGAAAAAGUGAAAUCAUUUGCUGGUUCCCUCUCCAUCUAUACUAGGAGGUGAAUAGAGCAAUCCUCGCCCUGCAGGCGCCGAGGUACCCCACCCUCUGACUUCAGUGACUGCAGCAAUGGAAGGAACUAUGAGCCAAGGAUUUGAAGUAAUCUUAUCUGUGGCUUUCUUUUCCUCCUCUUCUAUUGAUGACAAUAUGGAGGAAUGUUUAUUCUUAACCAAC
Gallus gallus (chicken) is the source of this 427-nucleotide long non-coding RNA. The record is from Ensembl. Lineage: Eukaryota; Metazoa; Chordata; Aves; Galliformes; Phasianidae.